RNAcentral lists this ribosomal RNA (253 nucleotides) under uncultured bacterium. RNAcentral's name for it is "partial 16S ribosomal RNA". It matches the Rfam family "Bacterial small subunit ribosomal RNA", at positions 524 to 776 of the family's 1533-position model. The record is from RNAcentral.
UACGGAGGGUGCUAGCGUUGUUCGGAAUCACUGGGCGUAAAGGGCGUGUAGGCGGUCUGUUAAGUCUGAUGUGAAAUCCCUCGGCUCAACCGAGGACGUGCGGAAGAAACUGCGAGGCUCGAGUCCAGAAGAGGGGGGCGGAAUUCCCAGUGUAGCGGUGAAAUGCGUAGAUAUUGGGAGGAACACCGGUGGCGAAGGCGGCCCCCUGGGCUGGUACUGACGCUGAUGCGCGAAAGCGUGGGUAGCAAACGGG